AACGAACGCUGGCGGCAGGCCUAACACAUGCAAGUCGAACGCUCCGCAAGGGGAGUGGCGCACGGGUGAGUAACACGUGGGAACCUACCUUCUGGUACGGAACAACCAAGGGAAACUUUGGCUAAGACCGUAUACGACCUCCGGGUGAAAGAUUGAUCGCCGGAAGAGGGGCCCGCGUCCGAUUAGGUAGUUGGUGAGGUAACGGCUCACCAAGCCUUCGAUCGGUAGCUGGUCUGAGAGGAUGACCAACCACACUGGGACUGAGACACGGCCCAGACUCCUACGGGAGGCAGCAGUGGGGAAUAUUGGACAAUGGGCGCAAGCCUGAUCCAGCCAUGCCGCGUGAGUGAUGAAGGCC
This 358-nucleotide ribosomal RNA is filed under the name uncultured bacterium. RNAcentral describes it as "bacterial SSU rRNA". It matches the Rfam family "Bacterial small subunit ribosomal RNA", at positions 29 to 416 of the family's 1533-position model. The record is from RNAcentral.